GCAAAGACGAUGAACGGGAGAGUAACUGACCUCUUUUUUUCAGGGAGAAGAUACCGUGACUGAAAGUAUCUUUAAAAAAUGUCAGCGAAAAAACACCCGGAAGUCGAAUACUGAACAUUAUUUUAGUAGGUUUUUCCGGUUGACUACCGUUAAAAAGUCUGAGGGGGACAAUUAAUGCAAAUUGUCCAACCAGGGUGGUACCGCGGGGUUUUUAACUCUCGUCCCUGUC
RNAcentral lists this non-coding RNA (229 nucleotides) under Thermincola sp. RNAcentral's name for it is "T-box sequence". It matches the Rfam family "T-box leader". Rfam says of the family: Uncharged tRNA acts as the effector for transcription antitermination of genes in the T-box leader family. Lineage: Bacteria; Bacillati; Bacillota; Clostridia; Eubacteriales; Thermincolaceae. The record is from RNAcentral.